This is a long non-coding RNA of Corvus moneduloides (New Caledonian crow), 1654 nucleotides long. NCBI's taxonomy places the organism in Eukaryota, Metazoa, Chordata, Aves, Passeriformes, Corvidae. The record is from Ensembl.
UAGGUGGGCUGCGUGUUUUUCCUUGUGUCCCAUUUUCAGUGGGACUGUGACAGCAAGCUGCAGGAUCCCAGGGCAGUCCUAUAGCUCAGGGAAUUGUAUUUGCUGUUCUAGGAACUGUGGCACUGCCUGAAACCAAUCCUCUGCUCUUCCCUCUGCUUUUUCCUUCUCCUUCCUUAGGAUCCUCUGGCUCCUCAUCAUAUUUUCACUCCUAGCUGGGUUCUGGGCCCUCUGCUCCUCUCGGCUGCCUGGGUGCCAACCUAUAUUCAGUCCCAUAAUUGUCCCUACCAGCCAAAAGAAGCAACCUCAGGAGAAAUUUGGCUCAAAACCUGGGAUGGAGUGUGCUUGCUAGACUGAAGGUUCUAGAAGGACCAAGAGACCCUGUGCAACAUAUUCUGCUGAAACUGCAGCUCACCAGGCCCAAGGAGAGUGGACAGGACACUGCUGGCAAUCUCUUUCCUUAUGACUGCAUGUGCAUAACUCCAGGAGAUCUGCUCAGUGUUGGCUCUUCUGUUGGCAGCAAAACCCCAUCUCCUCAGUGCUGUAAGAUGGAAUGACUGAAGAUCUUUGCUGUAUUAAGCACCUUCCACCUGAACAUCUGCCAGCUUUGCACAAGGUGUCUGCUCUGGAGCCAUUUACUGAAAGUGCCCCAAUGGCUGAAGAAAAGCCCAAGUAUAACUGCACUGUCAGUGAAGUCACGAUUGUGAACCUGCAGCCUGAUAAAAAUCCAGUUCUCCUCUUGCCAGGAGGGAAGCCAGGAAGUGAACAUAGAAACCUUGGUUUCCAGCCUCCUUCUCCAAGGAUUUCAGAGAAGAGGCUAUGCCAAGGAGAGAAAAAAUUGUGGCCAGAAAAGAUGAAAAAGGAGGGAGUUUUGUCUCCCAGCCUGCAUCAUGCAAGUGAGUUGUGCAGCACAGAGAAUGUUAGCCUGAAGAGGCCAGUGAAGUUGGCCCCUCUGGAGAUCCCUGUGGAAGUAAAAGAAGCCCAGCUCCAAAAGAUUAUGAGCAUCCAGAGAGAAGCCCAAAUGGCUGCCCAGAAGCUGAUGGUGAUCAACUCCGUGCGGAAUGAGCCCCAUGUGAAACGGGUAAAGAAUCUGGCACAGGGGGAGCUGGGAAACCUUCAACAGAUCAAGCUGAGUGAGAAGGCUGCUCUGGAGAGCAAAGAUGAUCCCCUACCCCCUAAAAGCAGCAAACCCCUUGGAGAAAUCCAAAUUAUUUUGCCUUCAGAGACAACCUCUAAGUCGACUAAACAAGCAGGUGCUGAGGAGGCUCCCAAGACACUCUGUAAGCCAUUAAUCCCCACUCUCCACGUGUCUGACAUGCAUGGAGAGUCCAACAGCCCCGAGAGCAUCCCUGAUCCCUGCCAAAAUGUUUCUCGGCGCCGAUUCAGAUUAAGACACACGAAAGAGCAGCAGGAAGACCACGGGAAAGCCAAACCCUUAAAGGCCACAGAUCCAAGUGUGGGAGAAGGCACGAAGAAAACUGCAGGUCAGCGGACACAAAAAACCCUCAGUGACGCCAGCAAGCUCAUUGAAAAUGUAUCCAAAAAGCAGAAGGAACGAGGAGCAAAGCAAAGGGAAAUAGAUGAAGCCUCUCUUGGGAGGAGGCAGUCCAUUCGAAGGAUGGCCUUGGGAGACAUCAUACAGGUGGAUGAUGACUGA